Long non-coding RNA from Lonchura striata (white-rumped munia), 844 nucleotides. RefSeq lists it as uncharacterized. Lineage: Eukaryota; Metazoa; Chordata; Aves; Passeriformes; Estrildidae. The record is from RefSeq and is a predicted model, not a curated record.
GGGACACACGGAGCCAGAGCCAGGGCACGGCGGGGGACACGGAGCCAGAGCCGGGGCACGGCGGGGGACACACGGAGCCAGAGCCGGGCAGCCCGGGCUCACGGCCGGCCGGAGCGGCAGGACGGAGGCUGCUGGGCCCCCGGGACACCGGAGCGCCCCGGGAAGGGGCCCGCAGCGCUGGCACGUGUGUGAAUCCCUCUCCAGAAGAAUCCUGUUCCUGCUGGAAGCACGACGGAGCCGCGGCCGGAGGGGAGGGUGCUGGGUGUGCCGGGGGUCCCUGGGGAGAGAUCCCUGCGCCGUGCCCGAUCCCAGGGGUGGCAACAGGGCCGGCCUGGCCUUGCCAGAGCCUCUGGGACAGUGGCGCUGGUUCUUCUCCACCCAGAUGGAAACUGGGGGCUGAUAACCCCGGGGUGUUUCACCCCAAAUCCCACCGACACCCUGGGCAGCUGCACUGAAGGAGCCUGUUGGAGCAGGAGCGGCUGGGAGCUGUCACCCCGAGUGCAGCCACGUUGUUUGGGGUGACCUUAUGGGGACAGGGCUGGAGUAAACCCUGGUGCAGCCCAGGCACCUCCACCAGACGUCCUGAGGUGUCCCAGCUGUUCCCAGGCGUGCCCAGGGCCAGGAUGUGCUGCGCUCCUGGCCUGGCAGAGGCAGGAAGGUGCCUGGAGAGGGUGACAAGGAGGGGACCAGGCACCCACCACCCCCGGGUGACGCUCAGAUGGGACCCUGUGGAAGCAGGGUCUGAACCUCUGUCAGGAGACAUGGAUGUCCAUGCUGGGAGACUGCUGGCACCGGCAAGAGGCUUAACUUUAAAAAAAAAAAAAAAGGUUUAUUUAUUUCAAGA